This 279-nucleotide ribosomal RNA is filed under the name uncultured bacterium. RNAcentral's name for it is "partial 16S ribosomal RNA". It matches the Rfam family "Bacterial small subunit ribosomal RNA", at positions 506 to 784 of the family's 1533-position model. The record is from RNAcentral.
UGCCAGCCGCCGCGGUAACACGUAGGGGGCGAGCGUUAUUCGGAAUUAUUGGGCGUAAAGGGCGCGUAGGCGGCUUGACAAGUCAGUGGUGAAAUCCCUCGGCUCAACCGAGGAACUGCCUCUGAAACUGUUCGGCUUGAGGCCGGGAGAGGGUGGUGGAAUUCCCAGUGUAGCGGUGAAAUGCGUAGAUAUUGGGAGGAACACCAGUGGCGAAGGCGGCCACCUGGACCGGUUCUGACGCUGAAGCGCGAAAGUGUGGGGAGCAAACAGGAUUAGAUA